UUGCACGCUGGCGGCAUGCUUUACACAUGCCAGUCGCACGGCAGCGGGGAGGAGCUUGCUUCUCUGCCGGCGAGUGGCGAACGGGUGAGUAAUACAUCGGAACGUGUCGAGAAGAGGGGGAUAACCACCCGAAAGGGUGGCUAAUACCGCAUAAAUUCUGAGGAAGAAAGCUGGGGACCUGGGAAUAGGCCUAGCGCUUUUUGAGCGGCCGAUGUCGGAUUAGCUAGUUGGUGAGGUAAAGGCUCACCAAGGCGAAGAUCUGUAGCGGGUCUGAGAGGAUGAUCCGCCACACUGGGACUGAGACACGGCCCAGACUCCUACGGGAGGCAGCAGUGGGGAAUUUUGGACAAAGGGGGCAACCCUGAUCCAGCCAUGCCGCGUGUAUGAAGAAGGCCUUAGGGUUGUAAAGUACUUUUGUUAGGGAAGAAAAGUCAGCUGUGAAUAAUGGCUGAUACUGACGGUACCUAAAGAAUAAGCACCGGCUAACUACGUG
RNAcentral lists this ribosomal RNA (493 nucleotides) under uncultured bacterium. Its description in RNAcentral is "partial 16S ribosomal RNA". It matches the Rfam family "Bacterial small subunit ribosomal RNA", at positions 30 to 507 of the family's 1533-position model. The record is from RNAcentral.